UACGGGGGGGGGCAAGCGUUGUUCGGAAUUACUGGGCGUAAAGGGCUCGUAGGCGGUUUGUCGCGUCGGGAGUGAAAACACCGGGCUUAACUCGGUGCUUGCUUUCGAUACGGGCAGACUAGAGGUAUGCAGGGGAGAACGGAAUUCCUGGUGUAGCGGUGAAAUGCGCAGAUAUCAGGAGGAACACCGGUGGCGAAGGCGGUCUCUGGCGACUACCUGACGCUGAGGAGCG
RNAcentral lists this ribosomal RNA (232 nucleotides) under uncultured bacterium. RNAcentral's name for it is "partial 16S ribosomal RNA". It matches the Rfam family "Bacterial small subunit ribosomal RNA", at positions 524 to 755 of the family's 1533-position model. The record is from RNAcentral.